GAUGAACGCUGGCGGCGUGCCUAAUACAUGCAAGUCGAGCGAACGGACGAGAAGCUUGCUUCUCUGAUGUUAGCGGCGGACGGGUGAGUAACACGUGGAUAACCUACCUAUAAGACUGGGAUAACUUCGGGAAACCGGAGCUAAUACCGGAUAAUAUUUUGAACCGCAUGGUUCAACAGUGAAAGACGGUCUUGCUGUCACUUAUAGAUGGAUCCGCGCUGCAUUAGCUAGUUGGUAAGGUAACGGCUUACCAAGGCAACGAUGCAUAGCCGACCUGAGAGGGGGAUCGGCCACACUGGAACUGAGACACGGUCCAGACUCCUACGGGAGGCAGCAGUAGGGAAUCUUCCGCAAUGGGCGAAAGCCUGACGGAGCAACGCCGCGUGAGUGAUGAAGGUCUUCGGAUCGUAAAACUCUGUUAUUAGGGAAGAACAUAUGUGUAAGUAACUGUGCACAUCUUGACGGUACCUAAUCAGAAAGCCACGGCUAACUACGUG
Molecule: ribosomal RNA, 497 nt
Filed under: uncultured bacterium
Lineage: Bacteria
Description: partial 16S ribosomal RNA
Rfam family: Bacterial small subunit ribosomal RNA
Source: RNAcentral